Molecule: ribosomal RNA, 497 nt
Filed under: uncultured bacterium
Lineage: Bacteria
Description: partial 16S ribosomal RNA
Rfam family: Bacterial small subunit ribosomal RNA
Source: RNAcentral
GAUGAACGCUGGCGGCGUGCCUAAUACAUGCAAGUCGAGCGAACAGACGCGGAGCUUGCUCCUCUGACGUUAGCGGCGGACGGGUGAGUAACACGUGGAUAACCUACCUAUAAGACUGGGAUCACUUCGGGAAACCGGAGCUAAUACCGGAUAAUAUAUUGCACCGCAUGGUUCAAUAGUGAAAGACGGUUUUGCUGUCACUUAUAGAUGGAUCCGCGCCGCAUUAGCUAGUUGGUAAGGUAACGGCUUACCAAGGCAACGAUGCGUAGCCGACCUGAGAGGGUGAUCGGCCACACUGGAACUGAGACACGGUCCAGACUCCUACGGGAGGCAGCAGUAGGGAAUCUUCCGCAAUGGGCGAAAGCUUGACGGAGCAACGCCGCGUGAGUGAUGAAGGUCUUCGGAUCGUAAAACUCUGUUAUUAGGGAAGAACAAAUGUGUAAGUAACUAUGCACGUCUUGACGGUACCUAAUCAGAAAGCCACGGCUAACUACGUG